GGCGAACGCUGGCGGCGUGCUUAACACAUGCAAGUCGAACGGAACGGCCCUGCUUUUGUGGGGUGCUCGAGUGGCGAACGGGUGAGUAACACGUGAGUAACCUGCCCUUGACUUUGGGAUAACUUCAGGAAACUGGGGCUAAUACCGGAUAGGAGCUCCUGCUGCAUGGUGGGGGUUGGAAAGUUUCGGCGGUUGGGGAUGGACUCGCGGUGGAUCAGCUAGUUGGUAGGGUAGUAGCCUACAAAGGAGAUGAUGGGUAGCUGGUCUGAGAGGAGGACCAGCCAAACUGGGACUGAGACACGGCGCAGACUUCUACGGGAGGCAGCAGUGGGGAAGAUUGGACAAUGGGCGAAAGCCUGAUCCAGCAAUGCCGCGUGAGUGAUGAAGGCCUUAGGGUUGUAAAGCUCUUUUACCCGGGAUGAUAAUGAGAGUAACGGGAGAAUAAGAUCGGGCUAACUCCGUG
This 463-nucleotide ribosomal RNA is filed under the name uncultured bacterium. RNAcentral describes it as "partial 16S ribosomal RNA". It matches the Rfam family "Bacterial small subunit ribosomal RNA", at positions 28 to 507 of the family's 1533-position model. The record is from RNAcentral.